RNAcentral lists this long non-coding RNA (335 nucleotides) under Homo sapiens (human). RNAcentral's name for it is "HSALNT0319886". The record is from RNAcentral. Lineage: Eukaryota; Metazoa; Chordata; Mammalia; Primates; Hominidae.
ACUGGGCUGGGCACGGUGGCUCAUGCCUGUAAUCCCAGCACUUUGGGAGGCUGAGGCGGGUGGGUCACGAGGUCAGGAGAUCGAGACCAUCCUGACUAACAAGGUGAAACCCCGUCUCUACUAAAAAUACAAAAAAUUAGCCGGGCGCGGUGGUGGGCGCCUGUAGUCCCAGCUACUCGGGAGGCUGAGGCAGGAGAAUGGCGUGAACCCGGGAAGCGGAGCUUGCAGUGAGCCGAGAUUGCGCCACUGCAGUCCGCAGUCCGGCCUGGGCGACAGAGCGAGACUCCGUCUCAAAAAAAAAAAAAAAAAAAAAAAAAAAAAAGAGCAUUUUGAUG